Molecule: long non-coding RNA, 148 nt
Organism: Chelonia mydas (Green sea turtle)
Lineage: Eukaryota; Metazoa; Chordata; Testudines; Cheloniidae
Exons: 3
Source: RefSeq, a predicted model, not a curated record
UAAAACAUCAAAUAAAGAAUUGAUACAUGCACACAGAUAGCAUAAUCAUAACCAGCAGAUCAUAAUCUUUUCAUAGGCACCUCACUCAACAACCUUUGUACAAUAUUUGCUGCAAAUAUAUAACAGUGGUUGCAACAGUGAUCUAUAU